RNAcentral lists this long non-coding RNA (1290 nucleotides) under Macaca fascicularis (crab-eating macaque). Its description in RNAcentral is "lncRNA (ENSMFAG00000058592.1)". The record is from RNAcentral. Lineage: Eukaryota; Metazoa; Chordata; Mammalia; Primates; Cercopithecidae.
AUGCUGGCCCCCAGCUCCGCCAUGGGGAAGGCGCAGAGUGCCGCCCUGGGUGCCCCCUGGGCCCGGCAACCCCUAGCAAGGUGCCCGGGCAAGGAAGGCGGCCUGGAUGAGGCCCUGGCCCUGGCAGUCGAGGGGGACCUCCACAUAGGAGUACAGGUUGGUGUCCCCCAGGCAGACGCGGGCCACGUAGGAGCGGUACUCAGCCUGGGCCCGGGCCCCACGGCGGCGGAACACAAAGUAGGCGGAGCGGGUGUCGGCAAAGGCCCCCACGUAGCUGUUGUUGUAGUCGGAGAAGUCGCCUACCACCAGGCGGCCCAGGCCCUCGCUGGAGAAGGGCUGAGGCCCUGCCAGCUGGCGGAUGGCCAGGGGUGGCACCCCUGCCGACAGCUUGCCCGCCAGGCCUCUGGCCACAAGCAGGAGGUCCUGGCCGGGCAAGGGCACCACCAGCCCCACUGUGGCCACUCCCGGGGUAUUGGCAGCCACAAACUGCCCGUCACCAGGGUCCUCGGCCUGGUACAGCACCUCGGCCACAUCCCCGAGGCGCCGUGUCUCACACACACCCUGCCGCACCUGCCCACAGGCCACCAGUUCCUGGGCACGGCUGCUCACCAGCAGCAGCUGGUUGGCAUUGUCAGUGAGCUGAGCCUGUGGGCACUCAGCCGGGUCACGGAAGGGCACACAGUCGGGGCUGUCGAUGACAGGGCCAGUGACAGCCAUGGCCUCGAGCUGCAGCUCAGGGCUGAGCUGGAAGAGGCGGUUCACGGCGCCGACAUAGAGUGUGCCUCGGCCAGGCGCCAGUGCCAAGUGGUUGAGAGUGGUGUUAGGUGCGGAGAAGCGAUGGGCCCCUGUCAAGGGCAGUGGUGGUGGGGACAGCAGCAGCAGGAGGAGGCAGAGGCCGAAGGAGAACAGAAACAUCAGGGGCCUGAGAGGCACAGGUCAGGCAGUGGAGGGCAGAUAGAAGACCAGAGGAAGGUGGAAGGCGGGGUGGAGAGAGGCCAGGGUGCUCAGGGCCUGGGAGCAGGGGAGGCAGAGAGAUGGAGGGCGAGGGAGAGUGAACAAAGAGACGAGCACAGAGAGGGGACAGAAGGAACAAGACAGAGUCCACUGGACAAAGCAGGGAGGGUGCAGGGGCAGGUCCUGGAAAGCCGCAAGAGCGCUAACAGAGGGACUCUGAGUCACAGAGCGGGCAGGGGAGGGAGGGAGGCCAUGGGAGCUGGAAGGCUGGCGGAAGCUGUGUCACAACGCGCCCCUGCGCCCACCACCCAGACAAGAGAGAUGGAAGUGGAGUGA